RNAcentral lists this ribosomal RNA (764 nucleotides) under uncultured fungus. RNAcentral describes it as "SSU rRNA". It matches the Rfam family "Eukaryotic small subunit ribosomal RNA", at positions 564 to 1335 of the family's 1831-position model. The record is from RNAcentral. Lineage: Eukaryota; Fungi.
GUGCCAGCAGCCGCGGUAAUUCCAGCUCCAAUAGCGUAUAUUAAAGUUGUUGCAGUUAAAAAGCUCGUAGUUGAACCUUGGGCCUGGCUGGCCGGUCCGCCUCACCGCGUGCACUGGUCCGGCCGGGCCUUUCCCUCUGUGGAACCCCAUACCCUUCACUGGGCGUGGCGGGGAAACAGGACAUUUACUUUGAAAAAAUUAGAGUGCUCCAGGCAGGCCUAUGCUCGAAUACAUUAGCAUGGAAUAAUAAAAUAGGACGCGCGGUUCUAUUUUGUUGGUCUAUAGGACCGCCGUAAUGAUUAAUAGGGACAGUCGGGGGCAUCAGUAUUCAACUGUCAGAGGUGAAAUUCUUGGACCAGUUGAAGACUAACUACUGCGAAAGCAUUUGCCAAGGAUGUUUUCAUUAAUCAGGAACGAAAGUUAGGGGAUCGAAGACGAUCAGAUACCGUCGUAGUCUUAACCAUAAACUAUGCCGACUAGGGAUCGGACGGUGUUAUUCAUGACCCGUUCGGCACCUUACGAGAAAUCAAAGUGCUUGGGCUCCAGGGGGAGUAUGGUCGCAAGGCUGAAACUUAAAGAAAUUGACGGAAGGGCACCACCAGGGUGGAGCCUGCGGCUUAAUUUGACUCAACACGGGGAAACUCACUCAGGUCCAGACACAAUAAGGAUUGACAGAUUGAGAGCUCUUUUCUUGAUUUUGUGGUGGUGGUGCAUGACCGUUCUUAGUUGGUGGGGUGACUUGUCUGCUUAAUUGCGAUAACGGA